This 402-nucleotide ribosomal RNA is filed under the name uncultured Candidatus Solibacter sp. RNAcentral's name for it is "bacterial SSU rRNA". It matches the Rfam family "Bacterial small subunit ribosomal RNA", at positions 355 to 774 of the family's 1533-position model. The record is from RNAcentral. Lineage: Bacteria; Pseudomonadati; Acidobacteriota; Terriglobia; Bryobacterales; Solibacteraceae.
UGGGGAAUCUUGCACAAUGGGGGCAACCCUGAUGCAGCGACGCCGCGUGAGCGAUGAAGCCCUUCGGGGUGUAAAGCUCUUUCGGCAGGGAAGAUGAUGACGGUACCUGCAGAAGCAGCUGCGGCUAACUACGUGCCAGCAGCCGCGGUAAUACGUAGGCAGCGAGCGUUGUUCGGAGUUACUGGGCGUAAAGGGUGUGUAGGCGGUUGCUUAAGUUUGGUGUGAAAUCUCCCGGCUUAACUGGGAGGGUGCGCCGAAUACUGAGUGACUCGAGUGCGGGAGAGGAGAGUGGAAUUCCUGGUGUAGCGGUGAAAUGCGUAGAUAUCAGGAGGAACACCGGUGGUGUAGACGGCUCUCUGGACCGUAACUGACGCUGAGACACGAAAGCGUGGGUAGCAAACA